This 516-nucleotide ribosomal RNA is filed under the name uncultured bacterium. Its description in RNAcentral is "bacterial SSU rRNA". It matches the Rfam family "Bacterial small subunit ribosomal RNA", at positions 777 to 1304 of the family's 1533-position model. The record is from RNAcentral.
AAUAGAUACCCUGGUAGUCCACGCCCUAAACGCUGUCUGCUAGCUAUGAGGAGUAUCGACCCUCUUCGUGGCGUAGGUAACCCGAUAAGCAGACCGCCUGGGUAGUACGAGCGCAAGCUUAAAACUCAAAGGAAUAGACGGGGGCUCGCACAAGCGGUGGAGCGCGUGGCUUAAUUCGUCGCUAAGCGAAGAACCUUACCGAGGCUAGAUAUCCUACUGCACGCCCUGGGAAACCAGGGAAGCCUUCGAGGGUGUAGGACAGGUGAUGCAUGGCCGUCGUCAGUUCGUGGCUUGAGCUGUUCCCUUGAGUGGGGAAACGAACGCAACCCUCGUUGCCUGUUAUAUGUGUCAGGCGAGACUGCUCCCUCACGGGGAGAGGAAGGUGAGGAUGACGCCAGGUCAGCAUGUCCCUUGAUGCCUCGGGCUGCACACACGCUACAAUGGGAUGUACAACGGGACGCAAUAUCGCAAGAUGGAGCCAAUCCUAAUAAAACAUUCCUCAGUUCGGAUUGUGGG